GCGUGUGUGAGAAGGCCUUCAGGGUCUGUAAAGCACUUUCAGCUGGGGAGGAAGGCGGCGAGGUUAAUAAGCUUGUCGAUUGACGUUACCCGCAGAAGAAGCACCGGCUAACUCCGUGCCAGCAGCCGCGGUAAU
This 135-nucleotide ribosomal RNA is filed under the name uncultured bacterium. RNAcentral describes it as "partial 16S ribosomal RNA". It matches the Rfam family "Bacterial small subunit ribosomal RNA", at positions 399 to 524 of the family's 1533-position model. The record is from RNAcentral.